CGGGGCCGGAGGGGUCCGGGGUCCCGGGCCGACAGGUGUACGGAGCCCGCGGAUCGUGUCCGGGUGCUGGUCCGCAGCCCUCGGAAAAGACCCGGACACGGGAACGCGAAGGGGAUGUCGGGAGCAGUCCACAAAAAGUCACCGUGUCAGGUUCGGGGAGAAGAGAGCGGACCGGUUUGCCCCGAGAGCCCCAAUCGUAUGUACUCGGUCAGGCGCUGAGGAGCCGUGCCAGCUGACCCUCUAAAUGACCUUUAGCAGCACCCCUGCAUUUGGCUAGUGAGUGCCAGAGUUAGGUGGCCCGUGUUUCGGGCCGUGAGACCUCCAGGCCGUCCCCCGGCCGCCCUCGCCGGGUGUAGUCGGUGCCGGUGUGGGGCUGUCCACAAACAGAUAGGCCGGGUUCCUGCAAAAAAGACACGCUCUCGAAAUUUCAGGGAAAUGAUGAGCCUGGCUGUCUGGGGCUCCCCGGGUCAACCGGGGAGGAGAUUGGCCCUCCGAGAGAUAGACGGGAUCCUCUCGGGUGGGCGACUCCUGGUUCCCUCCUCUCGGGUGGGAGACUCCUGCUUCCCUCCUGUUACCCCCAAAGGCUCCACUUAACCCAGCUAAUGAAAGGCAUCUUCUGUUUUUCAGAUCCUGUCUGGACAUAUGGUUGGGAAAGUGAGGAAGAGUGUGGGAAAUGAAGUCAGGGACCAGGGAGAAGACGAUGAUCGUUUUGGGUGUGAUUCUUCCUCCGGAGUCCAACCUCCUGGUGACAAUCAGAAACACCAAAGGACAGCGUGCACAGUAUUCUGCCCUAGUGGGCCCCCACUCUUUGCAGAAAAGAAUGAUGUCUGUCGUUUCUCUCUCCUCCCUGGGCCAUUCUUGGUUUUUCACUUGGAGUCAGUCUUCCUUUCGUUGGUGUUUUCAUUUACAUGGCAUAAUCGGAUUUUUAAAGCAUCCCAUCAGUUUUAGGAGGAUAUCUUCUACUGUUCCACAUUUUACUCUCCUUGGUGAGCGCAACUGAACAAAGAGCAGAAUCUCUCAAAGUUUCGUUGUGAUGCUUGCCAAAUGCUAUAGAGCAGGCAGGAAAAACCUGUUGGUGUGGUCACCCAUGGAAACCGUUGAGAUUGCAUUUAUACUCAUUCUCGGGUUUUUGAGCGUGUGUACCAGCAUUUCCCCUUCCACUCAGAGGCCUCACACCUGUGACUUUCUUACUGCAGUGGAUUUUUCAAGCUCCUAGUGUCGUCAACAGCAUGUCCCCCUCCCCUUUUUCCUUUGGCUCCCUGGUCUCCUUAUUUCUUGUGGAUUCUGUUAGAUUGCCAGUCCUCCUCAUCACGUCUCUUGGGGCUCCCCCAUCUCACCCUGGAGCUCUGGUGGGCAGGGCUAGAGCCCAGCAGCAGGGGAAGGGGCCUGGUAUUAGUCCCUUCUGUGCUGCAUCUGGUGGAGAUGGCUGCUCUUCAGGAUGAGUUAUUCCCCGCUGCAUCGCUGCCAGUCUGGGGGCGCCUGGUGGGGCCUCAGGCCCGGGGCAUUACUGCCCGAGGGAUCGUCACCUACGGUCCGUCUCUUAGGU
Molecule: long non-coding RNA, 1546 nt
Filed under: Vombatus ursinus (common wombat)
Lineage: Eukaryota; Metazoa; Chordata; Mammalia; Diprotodontia; Vombatidae
Description: lncRNA (ENSVURG00010024388.1)
Source: RNAcentral